AAGGAUGGAGGAAGAGGAGGAUGGAGGAAGAGGAGGAUGGAGGGAGAGGAGGAUGGGAGGAAGAGGAGGAUGGAGGGAGAGGAGGAAGGAGGGAGAGGAGGAUGGGAGGAAGAGGAGUAUGGCGGAGAUGUAGAACCAAGAGAAAACAGUAUGUCCACACCUACACCCCUCCCUCUUACCUUUCUCCGCCCCACUGAACAGGAAAGACUGUUGGUGUAUGCUUCUUAGUGGACUCUUCUUCCUUUCUCUCCUCUUAGUUCAUGCUCCAGUCACUUCACCGUGUCAAUGUGUGUUUCCAAAUCAUAGAUUUACUAUUGUGAUGUCACUGUGUACACACACACACACAGAUAUGCCACAUCUCUCUGGAGUGUGUGUAGUUCUGCACUGUCACAGAAUGAAACAGUGAUGUCACAAAGUGGAACAGUGAUGUCACAGAAUGGAACAAUGAUGUCACAGAAUGGAAUAGUGAUGUCACAGAAUGGAACAGUGAUGUCACAGAAUGGAACAGUGAUGUCACAGAAUGGAACAGUGAUGUCACAGAAUGGAACAGUAAGGUCACAGAAUGGAACAGUGAUGUCACAGCUAGGGAACUGAGAAGUGUGGAGUUACAGGUCCGAUAUCCGAGGGGACGGUUUUCAGGUUCACACCGUUUCACAGACACAGACACUGAAGCUGCUGAAACAGCUUUUAAAACAAAAA
This is a non-coding RNA of Oncorhynchus mykiss (rainbow trout), 699 nucleotides long. The record is from RefSeq and is a predicted model, not a curated record. Lineage: Eukaryota; Metazoa; Chordata; Actinopteri; Salmoniformes; Salmonidae.